This 253-nucleotide ribosomal RNA is filed under the name uncultured bacterium. RNAcentral describes it as "partial 16S ribosomal RNA". It matches the Rfam family "Bacterial small subunit ribosomal RNA", at positions 524 to 776 of the family's 1533-position model. The record is from RNAcentral.
UACAGAGGUCUCAAGCGUUGUUCGGAUUCAUUGGGCGUAAAGGGUGCGUAGGCGGCGAGGUAAGUCGGAUGUGAAAUCCCGGGGCUCAACCCCGGAACUGCAUUCGAUACUGCUUUGCUUGAGUACUGGAGAGGAGACUGGAAUUUACGGUGUAGCAGUGAAAUGCGUAGAUAUCGUAAGGAAGACCAGUGGCGAAGGCGAGUCUCUGGACAGUUACUGACGCUGAGGCACGAAGGCCAGGGGAGCAAACAGG